Molecule: non-coding RNA, 213 nt
Filed under: Salmo salar (Atlantic salmon)
Lineage: Eukaryota; Metazoa; Chordata; Actinopteri; Salmoniformes; Salmonidae
Description: Eukaryotic large subunit ribosomal RNA
Rfam family: Eukaryotic large subunit ribosomal RNA
Source: Rfam by way of RNAcentral
AUGAGGCUGUGUCCCAAAUACCAACGCGACCGAUCCCGGAGAAGCUGGCGGGAGCCCUGGGGAGAGUUCUCUUUUCUUUGUGAAGGGCAGGGCACCCUGGAAUGGGUUCGCCCAGAGAGAGGGGCCCAAGCCCUGGAAAGCGCCGAGGUUCAGGCGGCGUCCGGUGAGCUCUCGCUGGCCCUUGAAAAUCCGGGGAAGAGGGUGUAAAUCUCG